UACUCCUACGGGAGGCAGCAGUAGGGAAUCUUCCGCAAUGGGCGAAAGCCUGACGGAGCAACGCCGCGUGAGUGAUGAAGGUCUUCGGAUCGUAAAACUCUGUUAUUAGGGAAGAACAUAUGUGUAAGUAACUGUGCACAUCUUGACGGUACCUAAUCAGAAAGCCACGGCUAACUACGUGCCAGCAGCCGCGGUAAUACGUAGGUGGCAAGCGUUAUCCGGAAUUAUUGGGCGUAAAGCGCGCGUAGGCGGUUUUUUAAGUCUGAUGUGAAAGCCCACGGCUCAACCGUGGAGGGUCAUUGGAAACUGGAAAACUUGAGUGCAGAAGAGGAAAGUGGAAUUCCAUGUGUAGCGGUGAAAUGCGCAGAGAUAUGGAGGAACACCAGUGGCGAAGGCGACUUUCUGAUCUGUAACUGACGCUGAUGUGCGAAAGCGUGGGGAUCAAACAGGAUUAGAUACCCUGGUAGUCCACGCCGUAAACGAUGAGUGCUAAGUGUUAGGGGGUUUCCGCCCCUUAGUGCUGCAGCUAACGCAUUAAGCACUCCGCCUGGGGAGUACGACCGCAAGGUUGAAACUCAAAGGAAUUGACGGA
Molecule: ribosomal RNA, 592 nt
Filed under: uncultured bacterium
Lineage: Bacteria
Description: bacterial SSU rRNA
Rfam family: Bacterial small subunit ribosomal RNA
Source: RNAcentral